CCUACGGGAGGCAGCAGUAAGGAAUAUUGGACAAUGCUCGCAAGAGUGAUCCAGCCAUGCCGCGUGCAGGAAGAAUGCCCUAUGGGUAGUAAACUGCUUUUGAACUAGAGAAAACCCCAGUACGUGUACUGGGCUGAUAGUAUAGUUAGAAUAAGCAUCGGCUAACUUCGUGCCAGCAGCCGCGGUAAGACGAAGGAUGCAAGCGUUAUCCGGAUUCAUUGGGUUUAAAGGGAGCGUAGGUGGACUGAUAAGUCAGUGGUGAAAUCUCCGAGCUUAACUCGGAAAUUGCCAUUGAUACUGUUGGUCUUGAGUACAGUUGCUGUGGGCGGAAUAUGACAUGCAGUGGUGAAAUACAUAGAGAUGUCAUAGAACACCGAUUGCGAAGGCAGCUCACAAAGCUGUAACUGACACUGAGGCUCGAAAGUGCGGGGAUCAAACAGGAUUAGAUACCCUGGUAGUCCGCACCGUAAACGAUGAUUACUCGCUGCUAGGGGGCAACCUUUAGUGGCUUAGCGAAAGCGAUAAGUAAUCCACCUGGGGAGUACGCCGGCAACGGUGAAACGUCAAAUGAAUUGA
This 576-nucleotide ribosomal RNA is filed under the name uncultured bacterium. Its description in RNAcentral is "bacterial SSU rRNA". It matches the Rfam family "Bacterial small subunit ribosomal RNA", at positions 338 to 913 of the family's 1533-position model. The record is from RNAcentral.